CGUACACAAAAAUGCACAUGCUGUGAGCUCGAUGAGUAGGGCGGGACACGUGGUAUCCUGUCUGAAUAUGGGGGGACCAUCCUCCAAGGCUAAAUACUCCUGACUGACCGAUAGUGAACCAGUACCGUGAGGGAAAGGCGAAAAGAACCCCGGCGAGGGGAGUGAAAAAGAACCUGAAACCGUGUACGUACAAGCAGUGGGAGCACGCUUAGGCGUGUGACUGCGUACCUUUUGUAUAAUGGGUCAGCGACUUAUAUUCUGUAGCAAGGUUAACCGAAUAGGGGAGCCGAAGGGAAACCGAGUCUUAACUGGGCGUUAAGUUGCAGGGUAUAGACCCGAAACCCGGUGAUCUAGCCAUGGGCAGGUUGAAGGUUGGGUAACACUAACUGGAGGACCGAACCGACUAAUGUUGAAAAAUUAGCGGAUGACUUGUGGCUGGGGGUGAAAGGCCAAUCAAACCGGGAGAUAGCUGGUUCUCCCCGAAAGCUAUUUAGGUAGCGCCUCGUGAACUCAUCUCCGGGGGUAGAGCACUGUUUCGGCAAGGGGGUCAUCCCGACUUACCAACCCGAUGCAAACUGCGAAUACCGGAGAAUGUUAUCACGGGAGACACACGGCGGGUGCUAACGUCCGUCGUGAAGAGGGAAACAACCCAGACCGCCAGCUAAGGUCCCAAAGUCAUGGUUAAGUGGGAAACGAUGUGGGAAGGCCCAGACAGCCAGGAUGUUGGCUUAGAAGCAGCCAUCAUUUAAAGAAAGCGUAAUAGCUCACUGGUCGAGUCGGCCUGCGCGGAAGAUGUAACGGGGCUAAACCAUGCACCGAAGCUGCGGCAGCGACGCUUAUGCGUUGUUGGGUAGGGGAGCGUUCUGUAAGCCUGUGAAGGUGUGCUGUGAGGCAUGCUGGAGGUAUCAGAAGUGCGAAUGCUGACAUAAGUAACGAUAAAGCGGGUGAAAAGCCCGCUCGCCGGAAGACCAAGGGUUCCUGUCCAACGUUAAUCGGGGCAGGGUGAGUCGACCCCUAAGGCGAGGCCGAAAGGCGUAGUCGAUGGGAAACAGGUUAAUAUUCCUGUACUUGGUGUUACUGCGAAGGGGGGACGGAGAAGGCUAUGUUGGCCGGGCGACGGUUGUCCCGGUUUAAGCGUGUAGGCUGGUUUUCCAGGCAAAUCCGGAAAAUCAAGGCUGAGGCGUGAUGACGAGGCACUACGGUGCUGAAGCAACAAAUGCCCUGCUUCCAGGAAAAGCCUCUAAGCAUCAGGUAACAUCAAAUCGUACCCCAAACCGACACAGGUGGUCAGGUAGAGAAUACCAAGGCGCUUGAGAGAACUCGGGUGAAGGAACUAGGCAAAAUGGUGCCGUAACUUCGGGAGAAGGCACGCUGAUAUGUAGGUGAAGCGACUUGCUCGUGGAGCUGAAAUCAGUCGAAGAUACCAGCUGGCUGCAACUGUUUAUUAAAAACACAGCACUGUGCAAACACGAAAGUGGACGUAUACGGUGUGACGCCUGCCCGGUGCCGGAAGGUUAAUUGAUGGGGUUAGCGGUAACGCGAAG
RNAcentral lists this ribosomal RNA (1544 nucleotides) under Escherichia coli. RNAcentral's name for it is "partial 23S ribosomal RNA". It matches the Rfam family "Bacterial large subunit ribosomal RNA", at positions 374 to 1904 of the family's 2925-position model. The record is from RNAcentral. Lineage: Bacteria; Pseudomonadati; Pseudomonadota; Gammaproteobacteria; Enterobacterales; Enterobacteriaceae.